Molecule: non-coding RNA, 73 nt
Organism: Parelaphostrongylus tenuis
Lineage: Eukaryota; Metazoa; Nematoda; Chromadorea; Rhabditida; Metastrongylidae
Source: the annotation of a GenBank genome assembly
GCCUCGAUGGUGUAGUGGUAGAGCACGCAUCCCCAGAUAGGAUGAAACGCGGGUUCCAUUCCCUACCGAGGCC